AUUUUGGAGUUUUUCAUGUUUUUGCUGUUUCCAUGGUAACGGCCGCCAUUUUAAAAAUUCCAAAGUUAAACUACUGCUGCAUAUUGUUCUCUCCCUAAGAAUAUUCUAUUAUAUAACAUUUAAUGUCUGUUGAACUAUUUUAACACUCAUGUUCUGGAAUGUUCCAUGAAAAAUUCACCCCCUCAAAUUAUGUCUAGAGACCCCCCAGUUGAAAAAAAAUUGUACCAUGUUGAAGUGUGCAUGACUCUCCUAAUAUCAUAGAAGUUUCAUAUAAAUUGGAACAUAUUUCUAUUUUUCACAUUUUUGCUGUUUCCAUGGCAAUGGCAGCCAUUUUUUUAAUUCCAAGGUAAGGUGCAAAACUGCACAUGGUGAUUAACAUUAUGUUAUAGUUCCAUCAACAUUGGUCCAUUCAAUUCCGAGAACUAAGCCGGACAAAAAGUGUGGAAUAAAAAUAAUAAGAAACUAGAAUUGCCAUUGCAAGCAAUAGCGGAUGUCACCCUGGUUCCCCAAUUGCCACUAAACGGCAGCCAUUUCGAAAUGUUCCAUCAGUAAAUGCAGAUAUAUCCAUAACAAAAGAUCUUUCUGUCAGUUUUCAUAGCUUUAUGUACGUUUUUCUGUUUUCAACAAUUGUGCCGUUUCCAUGGCAACGGCGGCCAUUUUGGAAAUUAAAAACUCAAAAGUCAAGUCUACAAUAGCUAGGCAACAUUUGUUUUAAGUUUCAUUAAAUUUGAAGCAUUUUGGAGUUUUUCAUAUUUUUGCUGUUUCCAUGGUAACGGCCGCCAUUUUAAAAAUUCCAAAGUCAAACUACUGCUGCAUAUUGUUCUCCCCUAAGAAUAUACUAUUAUAUAACAUUUAAUGUCUGUUGAACUAUUUUAACACUUAUGUUCUGGAAUGUUCCAUGAAAAAUUCACCCCCCUCAAAUUAUGUCUAGAGACCCCCCAGUUGAAAAAAAAAUGUACCAUGUUGAAGUGUGCAUGACUCUCUUAAUAUCAUAGAAGUUUCAUAUAAAUUGGAACACAUUUCUAUUUUUCACAUUUUUGCUGUUUCCAUGGCAAUGGCAGCCAUUUUUUUAAUUCCAAGGUAAGGUGCAAAACUGCACAUGGUGAUUAACAUUAUGUUAUAGUUCCAUCAACAUUGGUCCAUUCAAUUCCGAGAACUAAGCCGGACAAAAAGUGUGGAAUAAAAAUAAUAAGAAACUAGAUUUGCCAUUGCAAGCAAUAGCGGAUGGCACCCUUCCCCCAUUGCCAGGCGAGCGGCAGCCAUUUUGAAAUUUCCCAAGUCAAAGAG
RNAcentral lists this long non-coding RNA (1287 nucleotides) under Mytilus galloprovincialis (Mediterranean mussel). Lineage: Eukaryota; Metazoa; Mollusca; Bivalvia; Mytilida; Mytilidae. The record is from RNAcentral.